UACGAAGGGGGCUAGCGUUGUUCGGAAUUACUGGGCGUAAAGGGCGCGUAGGCGGUGUGUCAAGUCAGGCGUGAAAGCCCCGGGCUCAACCUGGGAACGGCGCUUGAGACUGGCACGCUCGAGUUCGGGAGAGGAUGGUGGAAUUCCCAGUGUAGAGGUGAAAUUCGUAGAUAUUGGGAAGAACACCGAUGGCGAAGGCAGCUAUCUGGACCGACACUGACGCUGAGGCGCGAAAGCGUGGGGAGCAAACAGG
RNAcentral lists this ribosomal RNA (253 nucleotides) under uncultured bacterium. RNAcentral's name for it is "partial 16S ribosomal RNA". It matches the Rfam family "Bacterial small subunit ribosomal RNA", at positions 524 to 776 of the family's 1533-position model. The record is from RNAcentral.